Long non-coding RNA from Poeciliopsis prolifica (blackstripe livebearer), 692 nucleotides. RefSeq lists it as uncharacterized. The transcript has 4 exons. NCBI's taxonomy places the organism in Eukaryota, Metazoa, Chordata, Actinopteri, Cyprinodontiformes, Poeciliidae. The record is from RefSeq and is a predicted model, not a curated record.
UUGCACGUGACGUCACUCCCACUCCGCCAUGACAGACGUCAAAACAACCAAUGCUCUCCUUUAAAGCUAGUCAAACAUCUGUGACCUUUUUUUUCUUCUUUUUUUUUAGUUUAUUUGUUUUGUUUUGUAUGUGGGGUAAUAUACACAGUGUAACAUUCCGGUCAACACACCACUACUCUCCACUAGAUGGCGGUAAUGCACCUCAAUAGCUUGCUCGUCAACCACCAUAAAAUAGAAGAAGAAGAAAAAAAAAGACCAAAUAUCGCUUCUAUUUAGUUGAAUUCACUUUAAAAUGCUCGUAGUAUGCUGCGCGGUCGGCUUAACAAUCAGACAAGGAUGAAAAGAAAGCUUUGUAAAGAAACUCCUGUUUUCUCUGAAACUCCACCUUCAGGAAGUCAUCUCAACAGCUGAAUGGUUACAAUGGGAGGUUCAAGGAUUCCUCAACCAUGCACGAAAGAAUCAAGGCAAAUCUCCAGCUCUGCUCUGGCACCUUGCUCAUCAAAGCCUCUGCUCUGAAAAAUUCAUCAUUUUUUGACUGAUCAUAUUUCCUGUGGAGUCUCCUUUAGGGGAAAUAAGCCUGUGAGACACAAGACGGAGCUCAAGGUUCAUGUCUGCUGUUGCUGGGAGCCUCUUAACUCCUGACGCUGUGGUUCCAGAGCGAGUUUCCACACACUGAUGGCCCAGCGAUGCUU